Molecule: transfer RNA, 73 nt
Filed under: Nitzschia sp. IriIs04
Lineage: Eukaryota; Bacillariophyta; Bacillariophyceae; Bacillariales; Bacillariaceae
Also listed under: 1 other name
Description: tRNA-Phe
Rfam family: tRNA
About the family: Transfer RNA (tRNA) molecules are approximately 80 nucleotides in length. Their secondary structure includes four short double-helical elements and three loops (D, anti-codon, and T loops).
Source: RNAcentral
GUUCAAAUAGCUCAGUUGGUAGAGCGGAGAACUGAAAAUUCUUAUGUCACUGGUUCAAAUCCAGUUUUGAACA